Molecule: transfer RNA, 84 nt
Filed under: Candidatus Woesearchaeota archaeon
Lineage: Archaea; Nanobdellati; Candidatus Woesearchaeota
Description: tRNA-Ser
Rfam family: tRNA
About the family: Transfer RNA (tRNA) molecules are approximately 80 nucleotides in length. Their secondary structure includes four short double-helical elements and three loops (D, anti-codon, and T loops).
Source: RNAcentral
GCCACGGUGGCACAACCUGGUACUGCGCAAGCCUGGAAAGCUUGUUUCCGCAAGGAUAUCCCAGUUCAAAUCUGGGUCGUGGCG